Molecule: long non-coding RNA, 2294 nt
Filed under: Helianthus annuus (common sunflower)
Lineage: Eukaryota; Viridiplantae; Streptophyta; Magnoliopsida; Asterales; Asteraceae
Source: RNAcentral
UUGAAAUUGUAUUUUGAGCAAAGUUUUAAGACGUCUUGGCUUGGGGAUAAAAUAGAGAAUUCCUCCUCCGGCAUUUACUAUCCAUCCUGAAUCCCAAUUGUCAAAACCAUUCGAUGCUUGGUGUUCUGAUUCAUCACGGCAGCCCUUUAAUUGAAUUGCCUCCCCCUUUAAGAAACCAUCAAUCAAUCUCCUGUUUGUAUUUGCUUUUGUUUUCUUCUAUUGAAUCACUGAAAAGCAGAUGAGUGGGGCUAGAUUGUGUUCGUUAUUAGGAACCAUCAAUCACUGAGGUUGAAGAGGGGUUAUCGCAUACAUGGUUAGCCUAGGGUUAGGAUGAAGAUGCAGUGAGAUGACGAUACAGGGUUGAAGGUAAUAUUUGGUUUUAGAUCUGAACUGCUGAAUGGGUGAAUUCGUAUUAUACAUGUAAUCUGUUUGAAUCUACAUUGCAUGUGUCGCUUUUAUGUUUGAAGCCUGGUAAUUACUCUGUGAAUUGUACGAUUUCAGCAACCGUGGUUCAUGACUAAUACGCCGUUAAUUGAGACUUCUGAUACUAAUCAGAUUGUUGUGCUUGAUGUAAGUAUUUUUAAUAUGCUUUUAUUGUAAUUAAGAAUUAGUUCUUUUGGUUACACUUUUUCAAUCUCCAGCAGACUACAAAACACUAUUUUUUUGGAAAAAAUAUUAGAAGGAACAUCAAGCUUUAAUCUUUUCAUUAGCUUAGCAUGGUUAGAAAAACCAACAUAAAUUUAAGAUUAGAUCGAUUGGUUUCUAUUUCUCACAAGUUAAUUGAUAUUAAAUAAUCAGAAUUAGAUGAUAAAAGUUGGUUCUUAGAGGGUCUUUUGUAAACUUGAAAAUUAUGACUUAUUAUGAAAUUAAUUAAUAGAUGAAAUGACUAAAAUCACAUUUUUGUAGAAGAUGGGAAGACGUUUUGUUAAUUAAGAGUAAAAUUAUUUUGAUUAGCUUAAAAGGAAAUAAUUUUAUUUUGAGUAAAAUGCCAAAAUCGUCCCUGAUAUUUGGGCACUUUUGCCUGUUACAUCUAAAAUAAGAAUUUUUUGUCUGUUUUGCACUUGUGGAAUGUUGAUUAUGAGCUGGCCAAACUGUUGACCUCUGAGAUGAAGCUUAAGAAACCUUAGAAUUUCUUUGUAUCUUCUGGUUUGCUUGCUUGGAGACAGAGGAUCUCUCAUGUUGACUUUUCCUGGUCCAAGUGCAACACUCGAGAUGCUGCUGCUGUUCUCAAGCAUUUAAAGGAUCACCUCUUGACCAAAAAUAAAUUCGUGAAGGUUUUGGCAAAGAUUGAAAGUUUAGAAUCUCUAAAGAAUCUUGAAGAAAUCGUGCAAGUAUCAGAUGGAAUCAUGGUGGCACGAGGUGAUCUUGGAGUCGAAAUACCACUAGAAUAGGUUCCUGCAGUACAGGAAGAAAUAAUCGAUCUGUGUAGAAAGUUAAACAAGCCUGUAAUUAUUGCCUCACAGCUUCUUGAAUCAAUGAUCGAAUAUUCUACCCCAACUCGAGCUGAGGUUGCUGAUGUUUCUGAGGCGGUUAGACAACGUGCUGACGCGUUGAUGCUAUCUGGUGAGUCAGCGAUGGGAUCAUAUAGUCAAAAGGCUAUAUCCGUUUUGAGAAUGACUAGCGCCCGAAUGGACGGGCGUAUGGCGUCGUCUUUGCAAAAGAGCAAAAAACUUUGUUGGUUCUCCUCACGGCCCCAUCUCCAGUUCCGGGGAAAACCCGAGUUAGAGGUUUUGUUAGGGGAGAGAAGGCGUGUGCGUUACUGAAAGAUGCAGAAACACAGAAGCUAGCACGCGCUAUGCGCCCCAAAAAGCGGAAGCGGAUACCUCCUUCAUAUAUCCUUGAGCCCGGAUCGAAAACUCAUAGAUGUAGUUGGGGAUCAUCUUAGCGGAUUGCUUGUGCACUCUUCAAGUGGAAAGCCAGGAACUUGUUUGCAUCCGCAUGGCAGAGGGCUGCCACAGUGGAAGGCCACCUAGACUACUCGUUUGCAUCCGCAUGGCAUCCGGAUGGCCGAAUCUUUUCUACAGGCAAUCAAGACAAGACUUGUAGGCUAUGGGAUAUGAGAAAUCUUGCAACCCCGGUCCCGGUUCUUAAAGGCAAACAUCAUGUUUUAAGUAGUGCAUUUGUUUAAUUGACAAAUCUAUUCUUUUUUAUAACAAAUAUUUUCUUAAAAUAGAGUAUUGUAGAUGGUAAGUGUUAGUGGUAAGUUGGUGAUUUGUUCAUGUCUCAUGUUAUUGACCCCGCUGCAACGCGCGGGUCUUCCACUAGUAUUCGUAAAAGAGUAAAUUAGGAUUUGG